This 2152-nucleotide long non-coding RNA is filed under the name Salvia miltiorrhiza (redroot sage). RNAcentral describes it as "long non-coding RNA (SMIL_LNC005744)". The record is from RNAcentral. Lineage: Eukaryota; Viridiplantae; Streptophyta; Magnoliopsida; Lamiales; Lamiaceae.
GAACAUACGACUAUUUUACAUUUAAGUUAUGAGAAUAGGAUCAUUCCGAAAUUAUCGAUGCUAAAGUGCUUGCUGGGAUCCGAUCAUGAUGUGGCCAGACUUUUGAAACGAUGCAGCUGGUUUCUGUCAGCCGAUUUGGAGAAAACCUUAAUGCCAAAUAUGGAAAUCUUGAAGAGCUAUUGCAUACCAAUGGAGCGUAUCCUUUAUUUUCUCCAUCUUCGCCCGAGAUAUUUCGUGGUCAAGCCGGAUAUUAUGCAGAAAUCUGUAGUCAGGGCUAUAGAAUUUGGGGUCCCUUGGACUCAAGGCGUUUUUAUCCACGCUGUGAGUCUUUUCACUUAUACGAGUGAAGGGAUGUGGGAAGUCAAGGUGCAAAUGCUCCGCGAUUUGGGAUUUUCUGAUGAUGAUAUACUCACAAUAUUUAGGAAGCAACCAUUGGUUUUCUCACAAUCUGGGAAGAAAAUGAAGAAUGUCACAGAGCUUCUGCUUGCUACCGGUAAGUACGAUCUAUCCAGCAUUGUCACUUGUCCAGUAACACUCAUGUGUAGUAUGAAGAAGAGGCUUGAGCCGCGUCUGCAAAUACUUAGACUCUUGGAAAGUAGGAGUCUGAUUGAAAAGUGGCCAAAACUGUCAGCUGUUGCUACAUUAAUAGAGGAUAGAUUUUUUGACAGAUUUGUUGAGCCUUAUCGUGAUGAGAUUGACGAAGAACACAUCACAAAGAUAUAUGUCAAGACAAAAAGAGAUGAAACUUUGUAAGCAACGAGUUUCGCCUUUGCAAUCGGAAGCUCAAAGUUUUGGUCCCUGUCCUGCUGUGAGUUUGAAAGCAUACUGCGAUGAUGUGGCGUCGGAGGGCUGAUGAACUUGGAGAAGGCCUUGAGCUAGCUAAAGAAGCCAUGGUGAUUCAAAUGGAUUGUUAGUUUAUAUUCUAAACUUUCUUAUAUUGGAUGCAUUUUGAAGCAAUUGCUGUAGAGUUGGAGCUGACUGGAUUCAGCUGAGUUCGGAGGAAUUAAUAUGAUUUUUUUUGUUUUUUGUUUUUUUUUUUAAUGAUCAGUAAGCGAAAUAUGCUGUUGUGAAUCCUUGUGGCUUUUUCCAGUGUUUCUCAAUUUCUCACCUCAUUAAUGUAACUUCCUUCUAUUUCUCAAUACAUUUGGUUGGAAAUGCUCUUAUUUUGAGAGUGUUAAUUGGAAACGGCAGUCAUCAGAAAUCGAAUAAUGGAGUAGAAUUGUUGAUGUGAUUUCGUAGACAAUAGAAAAAAUCUCGAUCGAUUAACUUAUGCGAGCAUUAAAUAGAGCAGGGUGCACACAAAUAUUUUAUCCGAUGAACAGUUUGCAUUUCAUUGAAACAUUUAAGCUCAAUAGCUAAAUCAUACAUUUGAAAAAUAAGUCCAUCUGAUUAGGCAAUGUCUGUCGUUUAUUCUUAACUUUGAAUCGGAAUAGCAACGCUAGUCCUCACGACCCACAAAGCUUUCAAGAAAUCUAUAAUCUUAAUAGGUCCUCUUAAUCUAAUCUUAAAUCAUAAUGAANUCCAAUGCUCAUCUCUUCCCGUCAAUCCAUUUCUUCUCCACUUGGAGGGUGAAAAACCUAAUCCGUAACCCUAAAAUCUACGAUCUAUUGGUCAACAAACACCAAUUUCCUCCUGAUUUAGCUUCACUAGCUUCAUCGUGUUUACCUAAAGCUAGUAGCCCCAUAGGAGCUGAUUCAGUAGUGUCAUUCCUCAAAGAGAAUAGCUUUACGGCUACUCAGCUGCAGAAAGUCGUCACAUAUGAUUCUCGAAUUCUAGGGUUUACCAUUGAGAGCAUUAAUUUCAAAUUCAAGGUAUUCCAAAAUUUGGGCCUUUCCCCCAAGGAGAUUGCCAAGAUAAUAUUCGAAAAUACGACUAUUUUACAUUCAAGUUAUGAGAAUAGGAUCAUUCCGAAAUUAUCGAUGCUAAAGUGCUUGCUGGGAUCCGAUCAUGAUGUGGCCAGACUUUUGAUACGAUGCAGCUGGUUUCUGUUAGCCGAUUUGGAGAAAACCUUAAUGCCAAAUAUGGAAAUCUUGAAGAGCUAUAGCAUACCAAUGGAGCGUAUCCUUUAUUUUCUCCAUCUUCGCCCGAGAUGUUUCGUGGUCAAGCCGGAUAUUAUGCAGAAAUCUGUAGUCAGGGCUAUAGAAUUUGGGGU